RNAcentral lists this ribosomal RNA (436 nucleotides) under uncultured bacterium. RNAcentral describes it as "bacterial SSU rRNA". It matches the Rfam family "Bacterial small subunit ribosomal RNA", at positions 355 to 796 of the family's 1533-position model. The record is from RNAcentral.
UGGGGAAUCUUGCACAAUGGACGAAAGUCUGAUGCAGCAACGCCGCGUGGGGGAUGAAGCUUCUCGGAGUGUAAACCCCUUUCGACCCGGAAGAAUGCCCGCAAGGGUAUGACGGUACGGGUAUAAGAAGCCCCGGCUAACUACGUGCCAGCAGCCGCGGUAAUACGUAGGGGGCCAGCGUUGCUCGGAAUUACUGGGCGUAAAGGGUCCGUAGGCGGUGUAGCAAGUCGAUAGUGAAAUCUCUGGGCUUAACCCAGAGGCUGCUAACGAAACUGCUGUGCUAGAGUGUGAGAGAGGCGAGUGGAAUUACGGGUGUAGCGGUGAAAUGCGUAGAUAUCCGUAGGAACAUCCGAGGCGAAGGCGGCUCGCUGGAUCACAACUGACGCUGAGGGACGAAAGCUAGGGGAGCAAACAGGAUUAGAUACCCCCGUAGUCC